GACGAACGCUGGCGGCGUGCUUAACACAUGCAAGUCGAACGGAAAGGCCCUGCUUGCAGGGUACUCGAGUGGCGAACGGGUGAGUAACACGUGGGUGAUCUGCCCUGCACUUCGGGAUAAGCCUGGGAAACUGGGUCUAAUACCGCAUAGGAGCCAUUUUUAGUGUGAUGGUUGGAAAGUUUUUUCGGUGUAGGAUGAGCUCGCGGCCUAUCAGCUUGUUGGUGGGGUAAUGGCCUACCAAGGCGGCGACGGGUAGCCGGCCUGAGAGGGUGGACGGCCACAUUGGGACUGAGAUACGGCCCAGACUCCUACGGGAGGCAGCAGUGGGGAAUAUUGCACAAUGGGCGCAAGCCUGAUGCAGCGACGCCGCGUGGGGGAUGACGGCCUUCGGGUUGUAAACUCCUUUCGCUAGGGACGAAGCUUUUUGUGACGGUACCUAGAUAAGAAGCACCGGCUAACUACGUG
This 465-nucleotide ribosomal RNA is filed under the name uncultured bacterium. RNAcentral's name for it is "partial 16S ribosomal RNA". It matches the Rfam family "Bacterial small subunit ribosomal RNA", at positions 28 to 507 of the family's 1533-position model. The record is from RNAcentral.